GCGGCGGCUUAACACAUGCAAGUCGAGCGGUAGCACARGRGAGCUUGCUCYCUGGGUGACGAGCGGCGGACGGGUGAGUAAUGUCUGGGAAACUGCCUGAUGGAGGGGGAUAACUACUGGAAACGGUAGCUAAUACCGCAUAACGUCGCAAGACCAAAGAGGGGGACCUUCGGGCCUCUUGCCAUCAGAUGUGCCCAGAUGGGAUUAGCUAGUAGGUGGGGUAAUGGCUCACCUAGGCGACGAUCCCUAGCUGGUCUGAGAGGAUGACCAGCCACACUGGAACUGAGACACGGUCCAGACUCCUACGGGAGGCAGCAGUGGGGAAUAUUGCACAAUGGGCGCAAGCCUGAUGCAGCCAUGCCGCGUGUGUGAAGAAGGCCUUCGGGUUGUAAAGCACUUUCAGCGAGGAGGAAGGUGGUGARCUUAAUACGYUCAUCAAUUGACGUUACUCGCARAAGAAGCACCGGCUAACUCCGUGCCAGCASCRGSRRRGUAAUAMA
RNAcentral lists this ribosomal RNA (500 nucleotides) under bacterium SNB-CN11. RNAcentral describes it as "partial 16S ribosomal RNA". It matches the Rfam family "Bacterial small subunit ribosomal RNA", at positions 39 to 527 of the family's 1533-position model. The record is from RNAcentral.